Molecule: long non-coding RNA, 9045 nt
Filed under: Olea europaea subsp. europaea
Lineage: Eukaryota; Viridiplantae; Streptophyta; Magnoliopsida; Lamiales; Oleaceae
Source: RNAcentral
ACGAAUAAUGUAAUAAUGUAUUGAUCUAUUUAUAUUAAUUUUAUUGCUUUAAAAAUUCUUUUUGUAACUUAAUUUUUAACCCCAUAAUAAAAAAUAAAAAAUGCCUUCACCACUCAACAUGAAUAAUAUACAUUAAAUGCCAUUAUUUGAGUCUGCUAUUAUAUGUUAAAUACCUAGAAUAUUUCUUUAAUAAUUAUUUCUUUCGCUCUCACUUUCAACUUUUGCUUACAAUACGAUUAAUAAUACAAUAUUAAUAAUAGAAUUCAAUAAUGUCAGUUAAAAUAUAUUAUUUUUGUAAAUUUUCUACCUCCAAACCUCUCUUUGAUUUGUUUCUCCCUAGAUCCUCCAAGUCCGGCUUAUAGGGCUUCAACAUGCUUACAUGAAAAAUCGGAUGGAUCUUUAAAAUGUUUAGAAGAUCUAGCCGGUAGGAAACUCUUCCAACCUUCGUGAGGAUGGGGAACAGACCUUCAUAUUUUCUAACCAAGCCCUUGUGAACUCUGCGGUAGGCUUUGAAUUGCUGAGGCAACACUUUCACAAGUACUUGAUCUCCAAUGUUGAAUUCCAAUGGUCUUCGUCUCACAUCAGCCCAUUUCUUCAUUCGCUUCCGGGCUUUCUCCAAGCAAGAUCUUGCUAAGUCCACAUGAUCUCCUCAUGACUUGGCCAUUUUGAUUGCUCCGGGACUUCGGUUAGAAUCACCAACCAUUGAUAAUGUGUGGAACAUUGUUGGUUGUCGCCCUAUUGCAAGCUCAAAUGGACUAUGUCCUGUGGAUUCACUUUUCUGCAAGUUGUAGGAAAAUUGGGCUAUGUCCAUCAACUUCGCCCAAUCCCAUUGAUUAGCACUAAUAAAGUACCGAAGAUAACACUCCAACAAUGCGUUCACCCGUUCCGUUUGUCCUUCCAUCUGAGGGUGAAAACUACUUGAAAAGUGCAAAUCCGAUCCAAGGAGUUUAAACAACUCCGUCCACAAUUUCCCGUGAAGCGGGGAUCCCGAUCACUUACAAUAUGCUUUGGCAACCCCCAAUACUUCACAACAUUUUUGAAGAAUAACCUUGCCGUCUCCUUCGCAGUGCAAUCCUUACGGGCUGGAAUGAAAGUAGCAUACUUAGAAAAUCGAUCAACAACAACAAUUAUUGAUCCGAACCCUUCGGACUUUGGCAAUGCACUAAUGAAAUCCAUGGUGACCACGUCCUAUGGUUGAUCCGGAACGGGAAGAGGAUCAAGAAGUCCCGUUGGUAAUUUAUUCUCCACUUUGUCUUGUUGGCACACAAGACAUGUUCGGACAUAUGUCUCAACUUGAUCCCUCAUUUGCGGCCAAUAAUAUGCUCGUUCAAUCAAAGCUAAUGUCCGAUCUAUCCCGGGAUGUCCAGCCCACUUGGUGUCAUGACAUUCCCGAAUCAAGUCACGUCGCAAGUUUCUCCACUUAGGCACAAAUACCCGUUGCCCAGUGGUGUAUAGCAACUCGUUGUCAAUCCAAAAUCGUCUUGUUUUUCCUUCUCGAGUGGCUUGCAUCAAUGUUUUCGCCAUGGGGCCAUGCUCCAAUCCUUAUUUAAUUUCCUCUAAUAAGGUACCCCUGGCUUGACUAAUUGCCGCAAGUUCCGCCUUCCGGCUAAGUGCAUCCGCCACUACAUUCACCUUCCCGGGUUUGUAUUCCAUCAUAUAAUCAAACUCCGCUAAGAAAUCUUGCCAUCUAGCUUGCUUUGGGCUCAACUUCUUUUGUGAUUGGAAGUAACUUGUAGCCACGUUGUCCGUCUUGAUCACAAAACGGGAACCCAAAAGAUAAUGACGCCGUACCCGUAGGCAAUGCACAAUGGCCGUCAUUUCUUUUUCAUGCACCGUGUAACGCCGCUCCGUGUCAUUCAACUUGCGGCUCUCGAAGGCAAUAGGAUGACCUUAUUGCAUGAGCACACCUCCAAUAGUAAAAUCCGAUGCAUCAGUUUGAACUUCAAAACUUUUGUUGAAAUCCGGUAAGGCCAACACCGGCUCCGACAUGGCCGCCGCCUUUAAAUCAUCAAAGGCUCUUUGACAUUUUACGGUCCAAUCCCAUCCUUGAGACUUUUUGAGCAAGUCCGUCAAUGGGGCUGCUCUGGAUGAGUAGCCUUUAAUAAAACGCCGAUAGUAAUUCACCAAUCCAAGGAAAGACCGCAACUCCGUCGCCUUAGUAGGUGGCUCCCAUUCAUUGAUUGCUUUUACUUUGGCUCCAUCCAUUUUCAAGUGACCAUGCCCGAUGAUAUGUCCCAAGAAAUGAACCUCUUCUUUGGCAAAUGAACAUUUCUCCUUCUUGAUGUAUAAUUCAUUUUUCCGCAACACUUGGAAGAUAAUUUUCAAGUGCUCAACAUGUUCCUCCAACGUGUUGCUAUAGAUGACAAUAUCAUCAAGAUAAACCACCAUGAACUUAUCCAAGUAUGGAUAAAAUAUCUUGUUCAUCAAGGUACAAAAGGUGGCCGGGGCAUUUGUCAAACUGAACGGCAUGACAAGCCAUUCAUAGGAACCAUACCGAGUAAUGCAAGUAGUUUUAGGCUCAUCUCCUUCCGCAAUCCGAACUUGAUAGUAGCCUUCUUGCAAAUCAACCUUGGUGUAGCAUUUAGCGCUACCAAGCCGAUCAAAUAAGUCCGCAAUCAAUGGAAUAGGAUAUUUGUUUUUCACCGUCACCUUAUUUAGUGCCCAGUAAUCAACGUACAUCCUUAGUAUCCCGUCCAACUUCUUUUGGAAUAACACUGGGGCGCCAUAGGGAGCUUUGGAUGGUCUAAUCCUUCCCGUCUCCACAAGCUCCGUAAGUUAUUUUCGAAGUUCCUCUAACUCCGGAGGUGCCAUGCGAUAAGGUGCCAUGGCCGGGGGUUUGGCAUCGGGCUCCAACUUAAUGCGAUGGUCUACUUCCCUCCUAGGUGGAAGUUUCUUUGGCAACUCCUUGGGCAUCACGUCCUUAUUUUCCUCAAGGACUUUUCCAAUUACAUUUGGUAAGUCAUCAUUAUUUGCGGUGACUUCGGUUGCAACCGACAAUUGAGCAAUGAAUGUCGGCUCACCCUUCUUCCAUCCUUUUGCUAAUUGCAUAGCCGAAAGUUGUCGUGUUUCCAUCCCCAUGGAAAUGGUAGGAACCAUGCAUGAUGAUCCCUUCUCCAAGAUGCAUAUUGAACCAAAGGAAGGCAUAGGAAUAGCAUUAAACUUCCUUAAGAAAUCCAAGCCUAAUACUAGCUUGAAAUCAUCCAUCGGGGCCACAGAUAUAUCAACGGGUCCAUGCCACGAACCCAAUCGUAGUUUCGCUCCUCGAAUUACACCUGCUAAUGGCCUUGCGAUUGCAUUUACCGUCUUAAUUAAUCCACCUUCAUGGUGAAUAUUCAAUCCAAGCCUUUGGGCUUCAUCCUCCGUGAUGAAAUUGUGUGUGGCUCCGGUAUCAACUAAUGCCCGUGUUUGCUGUCCAUUGAUUUCGGCAAAUACGAACAUCAAUCCUUUUUCUCUGUUCACCCCUGGAACGGUUUUGGCAUUCAAAGCAUUGAAAGUUGCAAUGAACCCAUAUGACUUGCACCUUCUUCCUUGUCAUGGGAAGCCUCCAGUUGAGUCUCCGUAAUAGAUGCCAAGGAUCCAAGUUUAGGGCAAUCUCGCAUGAGAUGUGGCCCUUUGCAAAUGAAGCAACUACGAGGAGCAAAAUUACCCCUCUUUUUAUCAUCAUACUCCUUCCGCCAAGUAGUUGGUUUGUUGCCACCGGGUUUGUAAUCAACUUUGGGAUUUGGCCUCCAAUUUGGCUUACUCUGUUGCUUAUCUUUUCACAUAUCACCUCCCCCUUUGCUAAAACUCCCUUUAGUUGGUUUGAAAGUCCUUGCUUGCGACUCCGUACUCCUUUGGAACUUCGUCAAAGAUUCGGCAACCGCAAUUGUCUCAUCUACAUUUUUGACUCCGCGACGUUGUAAUUCUUGCUGGACCCAUGUUGUACAUCCAUCCAUGAAAUAGAAUAGCAAGACAUCCUCCGGCAUGCUAGGGAUUUGAAGCAUAAGGGUCGUGAACUCUUUGACAUAGUAACGGAUGGUCCCUUUUUCAAUUCUCUUAGUUUCUAGCGGGCCUCGUACACAACGUUCUCCGAGUAAAAUUGCCUUUUUAGCUCCCUUUUGAACUCAUUCUAAGUAUCAAUUCUGCUAGCUCCAUGUUCAACAUCGGCAUGCUUACGAUGCCACCAAAGAGAUGCGGUGUCAUUAAGAUACAUAGAAGCGGUCCGAACUUUCAUGACUUCAUCAACAAGAUUUACACCUUCAAAGUAAACUUCCAUUUGCCAUAGGAAGUUUUCCACAUCUUUGGCAUCCCGUCACCCAUCAUAAUGUUUAGGCUUCGGGUAUUCAAUCCUCGGGGCAACAAUAGUUGAAGCGGCACCUCCACUUGUACCGGCAGUGGAGUGCUUGUAUUGUUCAAGGUCUUUGCUCAUUCUUUCCAUCAUCACAGCCAAUUGGUUAACUUGGCCAUGCAUGGCGGAAACGGCAUCCAAGACUUUGGUUUGAAGACGACCAAAAUCAUCCGUCACCGCGGCUCGUCUGGCUACCACAGCUCGAACAUCAUCUCUCAUCGUUUGGACAUCAUUUUCCAACGAUGCUUGUAUGUCCAUCACCUCUUCGACAUUAAUUUGUAGAGUUUCUAGCUUUCCAAUGGCGUGUCCCUCCAAUGCCUCCAAAGAGCUUUCAAGAGAUUUGACCCGAUCACCCAUAUUUGAGAUGAUUUGGUCAAGUUUACCUUCCAUGUUGGUGGCUUCCCUCACCUUACUUUUGCCUCUAGUUUUCCUUACUUCAGUUUGGGCAGCACCUCGACCCCUCUCCUCAAUCUCAAUACCAACAGUUUCUUGAGAUUCCGCCAUUAUAACGGCCUACAAACGAGGCUCUGAUACCACUUGUCACGGACCUAGUUUCGUUACACCCGAACAACUAGAACCGUGCGGCUUUAACGCUUGACAAUUCCCGCACCUUACGAGAAAACGUUAAGUCAGCCUUUUCACGCUCACAAAUAAUUUAACCAAGGAGGCUAAAUUAUACCCACGUUGAGAAGAGAAUUUUGAAAUAAGGGAUAUAUGAAAAACAAGUAAGGUCGGGAAACUUUCUUUGUAUAAAUGAAAGGGAAAACUUUACAAUCUCUCUAAUGAAUAAACUCAUUGAACUCUACAUGAUUUACAAAUGAGACUUCCAUCUCUAUUUAUAGGCAAAAUUUAAACCUCCUUAAGAUUAAGUGGCAUUACUUUACAACCUACGCUUAGUUGUUCACAACUCGUGCUAGUUGUUUACAACUCAUGCUAGUUGUUUACAACUCAUGUUUAGUUGUCGUCAAGUGGAUAAGCUUACAACUUUCCUUGCAAGUUGUCGCCAACUCGAUCUUAGCUUGCAUAGUAGAUAUUAUUCUUGCCAACUCGUGCUUAGCUUGCACUUUUGAUAAUAUCUUCGCCAACUCGCGCUUAGCUUGUAUCUUUGAUAAUAUCUUGCAAGUGGCACAAGUGGACAAGUUGUACAAGUUGCUUACUUGCAUCCCAAAAUAUCCCGCUGCAGGUUCAUGUAUUUUUCCUCCAAAAUGGUUGGGUCGGGAUUUAGAAAAACCUCAUUAACGCCCUGGAAAACUGCACAAUUUUAGGCAGCCUGCAUUCUGCCCAUUCCGUCCUGUUGCAGCGUGCUGUCCACACUGUUUUGCGGCUGCUACCGGGACGGAUCGAACGCGACCGCGUGGGGCGUAAGUACAGGCAUCCUAAGUAAUUCAGGUUCGGCCAGAGUAGCUCCCAAAAAUAUGGCCACCCCUAUCCCCUCAUGUCAAUCCACAGAGACUAGGCGCGGAAGGGUAGGCUUUUUCCUUGUGAGAUUUCAAUUGAGCUGAUUGCCGCUUGCAAGAGAAAAAAAAGCAGGCCGUCAGAAAUCGAGAGGGAAGGUCCUCCAAGGAAGAGGCAUAGAAAGAGUGAGAAAGCUCAAUCAAGAAAAAAUAUUUUUUUUAAUUAAAUGAAUCUCUUGCCAGACUCGGGUCCCUAUCAUCGGCUUGUUGGCCGCCUCAUUUACCUCACCAUUACCCGACUUGACAUUAUCUUUGCAGUCAACAUACUUAGUCAGUUCAUGCAUGUACCCCGAGCACCUUAUUUGAUUGCUGCUCAUCGAGUUCUUCGCUAGCUUAAGGGCACUUCUGGUCAUGGCAUUUUCUUUGUAGCCUCCAGUUGUCUUGGGCUCAUUGCCUAUACAGAUUCAGACUAGGCCAGCUGCCCAACCCCUUGCCGUUCCACCAUUGGUUACUUCGUCCACCUCGGUACCAACCCCAUUUGUUGGCACACCAAGAAAUAAAUCACCCUGGCUCGCUCCACCACUAAGGCUGAAUACCGAGCCAUGGCCAUAACCACAUGUGAGCUUAUUUGGCUCAAAACUUGCUGAUCUCAGCAUAUCCCAUUCACUUGCUACUUAUCUUUUUGUGACAAUCAGUCGGUACUACAUAUUGCUUACAAGCUAGUAUUUCAUUAGCAGACCAAACACAUAGAGAUUGAUUGCCACACUAUUCGUGACAAGCUUUGCUCUGGUUUCCUCACUCUAUCUCAUGUCUCCGCAACCGAUUAGAUUGAAGAUAUUUUUACCAAGCAUUGGGUCAUGACUUAUUUCAUUGCUUCUUCUGCAAGUUGGGAUCAUAGAUCUUCAUGCGCUAACAUGAGGGAGAGUAUUAACAUUUCCAUACUAAGAACGCAGUUGCACAAAAUCUGCAUGGAUUUUAGUCAAUUUUUCCCGUAAAUCUUUAUUCUUAGAAUAGAAGAAUUGCACAAGAUUAGCAUGGUUUUUAGCAUAGUUUCACAAAAUCUGCUUGGAUGUUAGUUCAUUUUACUUGUAAUCAGCAUGGAUCUUAGUCAUUUUACUUGUAUAGCAACCUCACCGUACCUAUUUAUUGACAUUACGAAUGAAUGUAACAUAUAGCAGAAUUAUACAAAUCCUUUUCUUAACAGAAAACCUGAGAAUUUUAAUCCUUUUUGUUUUAUAUGUAUUUUUUUUGGUGUUUAUAAUGAACUUCAGGAAGCCUCAAGCUGGUACAAAGAAGUGAAUCCAUCAAAGAGGUACCCAUUUUGCAUUUUCUAUAAGUUGUCGACAAUGAUCAUAGAUUUUACUUGUUUAAAGUGAACACAAACAUUUUGUUAUGCAUGUAGCACGAUCAUAAAUGAUGCAUGAUUAUGACAUGAUAUUGUUAAUAUCGUAGGUAAAGUAUAUGAUACGUGUAGUUUGUUGGCAAAGCACCAUAUGACAUGAUUAAUUGUAUCAAGGUCUGAAUUUAGUAGGACUCUCUAGCCUAGCUUUUAUAACACACCAAUUUAUUAUUUUCUCAUUGUUGGUAAAUUGUAACAAUGCAUUGUCCUAGUUAACUCGGCCACAUAGGACUUUCGUGUUAGUUCGACUAAGAGAAGUGAACAGAGUAACCACCUUUGGGACUAGAUGGAGAUGAAUGACCAGUUUGACAUAAAAGAUAUAUAGACGAAGUGUUAUUAUCUUCAAAAUAUAUCUGAUUAAGAAUGGUAUUUUGGAAAAAUUUUAUGGAUGCAAAACAUGAAAAAAUUGGUCGUCCAAACUUCAAGAGUUGAGAAUGAGUUUAAAGACUAAUUCGUAGUAAAUCACUACAAAAUUGAUUUCAUAUUCUUUGAGGGAAAAGGAUCCCAAGGCUAGAUAUUCUAUACGAGCUGGGCGAUUAUUAAGCAAAAGUAGCUGUACUUUAGGAUCAAUGUUGUCUUUAUAAGAUACGGCAAAAGUACACCAAUUACUUUAUAUUUAGAAGAUGUUUUUCCCUUUAGGCAUAACAUAAUUGGCGAACCCUUUACUUCUAGUACUUGGGCUUCAAAUAAUAUACACCAUCUUAGUUCAUAUCUAGAAUCAAACACGAACUUAAAAAUAGUAAAAGAAAUAGAAAAGCGAAGAAUUUUGAAGAAGGAUAUUUGGACUCUUUUGAUUGAAUUUGAAUAUGAAUCUGUUGGAUAUUUUAGCUCCAUGAGCAAAAAAUGUACAUAUGUUUUAGAAUGAGGAAUCUGCAGAAUCUUCAAGUGACGAAAAUAAAAGGAAAUGGGAAUGAAAGGACUCACCAUGUAUCACACCACACACGGCCAAGUGAAGAGUUUAAAGAGAGAAAAUGGAAGAAAAAUAGAGGAAGGUUGGUUCUGUGUAGAGGGAGAUUGAGACUCACAAAAAUUAGUAAUAUGAAACUUUGAUUAGUGAAAUGGUUCUCCAUGUCCGUAGGUGAUCUUCUCGAUUAUGUAAAUUUUUGAGUUUUUCCUCUCCUAUGAUUAUCAAAAUAUGGAAGUUCUGUUAUGAGAAAUUAAAUUCCAAUUUUCUCAUCCAGUUCUCUAGAGUAUCAUUCAUCCAUUCUUAGUAUUUAUCUAAGAUCAUAUACCUUCAUUUUUUCGCACUGAUAAUAAUACCCUCAGCAUAGUUUUAUGGAUCAAAUAAAUUUACUGAAAACUGAUUCUUAAAAAUACUUUCAUCUGAAUCACCGAUUUUAUUUUAGUUUGUCAUAAAUAUAUAUUUGAUAUUUGAAAUGCUGCAAUUGGAUUGCAAGCCUUAUUCUCCGUUAAUUUUAAUCAUACAUGUUGAAAUACGCACAUAGGAACCUAAUCUGAAUUUCCUUUAAAUAUUACUGCUCAUCUUGCUUAAGGUUCUUAUUUUUCCACCUAAAAAACCAGGAAUAGGAGUUUGUAUUGGAGUUUGACAUUUUUAUAAAUCCGUUUAUUAUUAAAGAAAUGUUUAAAUUCGUUUUGCUCAAGUUAGUAGCGAAAUUAUUACAGAACGACAAUCACGGGUGAUACAAUAAUAUUAGCUGGAUCAAUUCUUAAGAGAGAUGAAAGAGUUCCUGACUCAACCCACUCUCCAUCCAUGGACAGCUUCGAAUAUAUAUUCCUGUUUAUGGUUGCUUUAGUCAUUGUUAGUUUCUUCAUGGUGCAGUUAUAAUGAUUAUCGAAGGAGUAUUUUUACAUGUUCUUUUUCUUUAUGAUCAAUAAAUUAUUAGAUGAUUUGAUACAUAUAAUUCAGUACUUUUGUUCUUUUGACGCAUUAUUAUAAUGUUUUUCCGGCCUUCUUGUUGAUUUUA